Molecule: ribosomal RNA, 441 nt
Filed under: uncultured Pseudomonas sp.
Lineage: Bacteria; Pseudomonadati; Pseudomonadota; Gammaproteobacteria; Pseudomonadales; Pseudomonadaceae
Description: bacterial SSU rRNA
Rfam family: Bacterial small subunit ribosomal RNA
Source: RNAcentral
UGGUUUAAUUCGAUGAUACGCGUAGGAACCUUACCUGGGCUCAAAUAGUAUGUUGACGUAUUCUGAAAGGGAUACGUUCUUCGGACAAUAUACAAGGUGCUGCAUGGUUGUCGUCAGCUCGUGUCGUGAGAUGUUGGGUUAAGUCCCGUAACGAGCGCAACCCUUGUCCUUAGUUACCAGCACGUUAUGGUGGGCACUCUAAGGAGACUGCCGGUGACAAACCGGAGGAAGGUGGGGAUGACGUCAAGUCAUCAUGGCCCUUACGGCCUGGGCUACACACGUGCUACAAUGGUCGGUACAAAGGGUUGCCAAGCCGCGAGGUGGAGCUAAUCCCAUAAAACCGAUCGUAGUCCGGAUCGCAGUCUGCAACUCGACUGCGUGAAGUCGGAAUCGCUAGUAAUCGUGAAUCAGAAUGUCACGGUGAAUACGUUCCCGGGCCUU